AUUGAACGCUGGCGGCAUGCCUUACACAUGCAAGUCGAACGGUAACAGAAAGGAGCUUGCUGCUUUGCUGGCGACUGGCGGGCGGGUAAUAAAUGUGUGCGAAACCUGCUGAUGGGGGGGGAUAGCCACUGGCAACGGUAACUAAUACCGCAUACCGUCGCAGAACCCAGGAGGGGGACCUUCGGGCCUCUUGCCAUCUGAUGUGCCCAGAGGGGAUUAGCUAGUGGGUGGGGUAACGGCUCACCUAGGCGACGAUCCCUAGCUGGUCUGAGAGGAUGACCAGCCACACUGGGACUGAGACACGGUCCAGACUCCUACGGGAGGCAGCAGUGGGGAAUAUUGGACAAUGGGCGAAAGCCUGAUGCAGCAAUGCCGCGUGUAUGAAGAAGGCCUUCGGGUUGUAAAGUACUUUUAGCGGGGAGGAAGGGAGUAAAGUUAAUACCUUUGCUGAUUGACGUUACCCGCAGAAGAAGCACCGGCUAACUCCGUG
Molecule: ribosomal RNA, 490 nt
Filed under: uncultured bacterium
Lineage: Bacteria
Description: partial 16S ribosomal RNA
Rfam family: Bacterial small subunit ribosomal RNA
Source: RNAcentral